AGAACUUAGCAGAGAUGCUUUGGUGCCUUCGGGAACUCUGAGACAGGUGCUGCAUGGCUGUCGUCAGCUCGUGUUGUGAAAUGUUGGGUUAAGUCCCGCAACGAGCCGCAACCCUUAUCCUUUGUUGCCAGCGGUCCGGCCGGGAACUCAAAGGAGACUGCCAGUGAUAAACUGGAGGAAGGUGGGGAUGACGUCAAGUCAUCAUGGCCCUUACGAGUAGGGCUACACACGUGCUACAAUGGCGCAUACAAAGAGAAGCGACCUCGCGAGAGCAAGCGGACCUCAUAAAGUGCGUCGUAGUCCGGAUUGGAGUCUGCAACUCGACUCCAUGAAGUCGGAAUCGCUAGUAAUCGUAGAUCAGAAUGCUACGGUGAAUACGUUCCCGGGCCUUGUACACACCGCCCGUCACACCAUGGGAGUGGGUUGCAAAAGAAGUAGGUAGCUUAACCUUCGGGAGGGCGCUUACCACUUUGUGAUUCAUGACUGGGGUGAAGUCGUAACAAGGUAAGCGUAGCGAG
Molecule: ribosomal RNA, 518 nt
Filed under: uncultured bacterium
Lineage: Bacteria
Description: bacterial SSU rRNA
Rfam family: Bacterial small subunit ribosomal RNA
Source: RNAcentral